RNAcentral lists this ribosomal RNA (468 nucleotides) under uncultured bacterium. Its description in RNAcentral is "partial 16S ribosomal RNA". It matches the Rfam family "Bacterial small subunit ribosomal RNA", at positions 28 to 507 of the family's 1533-position model. The record is from RNAcentral.
GACGAACGCUGGCGGCGUGCUUAACACAUGCAAGUCGAACGGAAAGGCCCUGCUUUUGUGGGGUGCUCGAGUGGCGAACGGGUGAGUAACACGUGAGUAACCUGCCCUUGACUUUGGGAUAACUUCAGGAAACUGGGGCUAAUACCGGAUAGGAGCUCCUGCUGCAUGGGGGGGGUGGGAAAGUUUCGGCGGUGGGGGAUGGACUCGCGGCUUAUCAGCUUGUUGGUGGGGUAGUGGCUUACCAAGGCUUUGACGGGUAGCCGGCCUGAGAGGGUGACCGGCCACAUUGGGACUGAGAUACGGCCCAGACUCCUACGGGAGGCAGCAGUGGGGAAUAUUGCACAAUGGGCGGAAGCCUGAUGCAGCAACGCCGCGUGCGGGAUGACGGCCUUCGGGUUGUAAACCGCUUUCGCCUGUGACGAAGCGUGAGUGACGGUAAUGGGUAAAGAAGCACCGGCUAACUACGUG